RNAcentral lists this ribosomal RNA (533 nucleotides) under Escherichia coli. Its description in RNAcentral is "partial 23S ribosomal RNA". It matches the Rfam family "Bacterial large subunit ribosomal RNA", at positions 1 to 564 of the family's 2925-position model. Lineage: Bacteria; Pseudomonadati; Pseudomonadota; Gammaproteobacteria; Enterobacterales; Enterobacteriaceae. The record is from RNAcentral.
GGGUUGUGAGGUUAAGCGACUAAGCGUACACGGUGGAUGCCCUGGCAGUCAGAGGCGAUGAAGGACGUGCUAAUCUGCGAUAAGCGUCGGUAAGGUGAUAUGAACCGUUAUAACCGGCGAUUUCCGAAUGGGGAAACCCAGUGUGUUUCGACACACUAUCAUUAACUGAAUCCAUAGGUUAAUGAGGCGAACCGGGGGAACUGAAACAUCUAAGUACCCCGAGGAAAAGAAAUCAACCGAGAUUCCCCCAGUAGCGGCGAGCGAACGGGGAGGAGCCCAGAGCCUGAAUCAGUGUGUGUGUUAGUGGAAGCGUCUGGAAAGGCGCGCGAUACAGGGUGACAGCCCCGUACACAAAAAUGCACAUACUGUGAGCUCGAUGAGUAGGGCGGGACACGUGGUAUCCUGUCUGAAUAUGGGGGGACCAUCCUCCAAGGCUAAAUACUCCUGACUGACCGAUAGUGAACCAGUACCGUGAGGGAAAGGCGAAAAGAACCCCGGCGAGGGGAGUGAAAAAGAACCUGAAACCGUGUACG